RNAcentral lists this ribosomal RNA (480 nucleotides) under Microbacterium sp. Its description in RNAcentral is "bacterial SSU rRNA". It matches the Rfam family "Bacterial small subunit ribosomal RNA", at positions 279 to 771 of the family's 1533-position model. Lineage: Bacteria; Bacillati; Actinomycetota; Actinomycetes; Micrococcales; Microbacteriaceae. The record is from RNAcentral.
ACGGGUAGCCGGCCUGAGAGGGUGACCGGCCACACUGGGACUGAGACACGGCCCAGACUCCUACGGGAGGCAGCAGUGGGGAAUAUUGCACAAUGGGCGGAAGCCUGAUGCAGCAACGCCGCGUGAGGGAUGACGGCCUUCGGGUUGUAAACCUCUUUUAGCAGGGAAGAAGCGAAAGUGACGGUACCUGCAGAAAAAGCGCCGGCUAACUACGUGCCAGCAGCCGCGGUAAUACGUAGGGCGCAAGCGUUAUCCGGAAUUAUUGGGCGUAAAGAGCUCGUAGGCGGUUUGUCGCGUCUGCUGUGAAAUCCCGAGGCUCAACCUCGGGCCUGCAGUGGGUACGGGCAGACUAGAGUGCGGUAGGGGAGAUUGGAAUUCCUGGUGUAGCGGUGGAAUGCGCAGAUAUCAGGAGGAACACCGAUGGCGAAGGCAGAUCUCUGGGCCGUAACUGACGCUGAGGAGCGAAAGGGUGGGGAGCAA